CCUGCAGCAUUUAGAAAAAAAAAAAAAAUCAGUAUUUCACCAUAAAAUCAUAAUGUUGACAUAGCUAAGUUUAGAAAACUAAACUCAAAAGUUACACGAGUAUUCUCUGUGGAAAUGCAGUCUUCUGUGUUACCUUAUGUGGUGUCCAUCUUUAAUACGUACACCUGCACUGAGGUUCAGCUAUGGAGCUCAGUAACUUUUUCUGCUUAAACUAUGCUUGAGAUCGAGGCUAGGAUGUGUAUUCAGAUUUCUCCCACAAUGAUGGAAGAUGUCUCAAUUCUUCCUCAUAAAUUAUGUCAAUUUUUGCUUUACAUACUUUGACUCUAUUAGUAGGUAAAUAAAAAUUAAGAAUUAUUCUCUCCUAUAUAACUGGGCCACUUUUCAUCAGCAAAAUACCUCUUUUUAUUUCUAAAUAUACUACUGUCUUACAGCCUUUUCUGAUUCAUAUUAUUAACUGUAUUUUGGAUAAUUAUCUAAUUGCUGUAUUAAUACACCAUUUUCCAUCCCUCUAUUUCUAGUCUGUGGUAUCAUCAUGUUUUAGAUAAAUCCCAAAUAAUGGGUGAAUUUUUUGAUUAUUUAUCCAAUUUGAGACUCUCAGUAUUUUAGGUAAUGGGGAGGAAUGUUUCUGACAUUCUAAGUCAUGAAGCUUUAUUAGAGAAACAUUUAUUUGAAACAGAGAUCAUCCUAUAAGAAAAGGACAUACCUCCAUUACAAGUUGGUGAGCACGAGAAACCAGUGUGAGACCAUUGGCAUGGUUAAACGUUUCAGAAAUAUCUUGUCCGAAUGUGUAGCCAGCGCCGCGUGGUGAAAUACCCCACCCACCACGAUCAUCUGGAUCUGACCAUAAUAGAUCACACAUUGGGCCCUGGCAAAGAAAAUGGAAGUAUGCGACGCUCCGGACGCGCAGGCUCAGCGGCCGUGGCUCACGGGC
Molecule: long non-coding RNA, 931 nt
Organism: Aethalodelphis obliquidens (Pacific white-sided dolphin)
Lineage: Eukaryota; Metazoa; Chordata; Mammalia; Artiodactyla; Delphinidae
Exons: 3
Source: RefSeq, a predicted model, not a curated record